Molecule: ribosomal RNA, 468 nt
Filed under: uncultured bacterium
Lineage: Bacteria
Description: partial 16S ribosomal RNA
Rfam family: Bacterial small subunit ribosomal RNA
Source: RNAcentral
GACGAACGCUGGCGGCGUGCUUAACACAUGCAAGUCGAACGGAAAGGCCCUGCUUUUGUGGGGUGCUCGAGUGGCGAAAGGGUGAGUAACACGUGAGUAACCUGCCCUUGACUUUGGGAUAACUUCAGGAAACUGGGGCUAAUACCGGAUAGGAGCUCCUGCUGCAUGGUGGGGGUUGGAAAGUUUCGGCGGUUGGGGAUGGUCUCGCGGCUUAUCAGCUUGUUGGUGGGGUAGUGGCUUACCAAGGCUUUGACGGGUAGCCGGCCUGAGAGGGUGACCGGCCACAUUGGGACUGAGAUACGGCCCAGACUCCUACGGGAGGCAGCAGUGGGGAAUAUUGCGCAAUGGGCGGAAGCCUGAUGCAGCAACGCCGCGUGCGGGAUGACGGCCUUCGGGUUGUAAACCGCUUUCGCCUGUGACGAAGCGUGAGUGACGGUAAUGGGUAAAGAAGCACCGGCUAACUACGUG